This is a long non-coding RNA of Alexandromys fortis (reed vole), 832 nucleotides long. RefSeq lists it as uncharacterized. The record is from RefSeq and is a predicted model, not a curated record. The transcript is spliced from 3 exons. NCBI's taxonomy places the organism in Eukaryota, Metazoa, Chordata, Mammalia, Rodentia, Cricetidae.
CGAGGCUCCACCUCUCCGCUCCGCUCCAGCGCUACGCCGCCACCGCGAGGCGCCAGGCAACGCGCCCGGUGGGGACCCGGGGGACUUGGCGCACCUGCUGCGCACGCCUGGCGCUUCCCGCGCCGCGUGACCUUAAGAUUAAAAAUAAACAGAAUCGACUACUGCCUGUCGUCGUCAUCCUUAUCCACAUAAUCUCAGCACUGAAAGUGCAGAGAACACUGACCCCUGCAUAACAUGACUUACCAUGCAAACACCCGAUGAAGUGUAAUGUCCAGAUUAAGUAAGACUAUAGCUUAUUUAAGGCUAACAGAAACCACAGGAAGCAAAAACAUUGCCAGGCGAGGUGGUGCACACCUGUAACCCAGCACUGGGGAGGUGGAGGCAGUCAGAUCUCUGUGUGCUCGAGGCCAGCCUCAGUCAGAGAGCUCCAGGACAGCCAGAGCUUCAGAGUGAUACCCUAUCAACAAAUGAACAAACAAUGAACGAACAAACAAACAACGUGGCUCCUUGACUAAAGGGAGACUCUGGAGUAUUUCCUGUUACUGAGCUGGAUCGAGUGAGACAUAAGGGAUGUGGAGUAAAAUUCACCUCUUCUUGGUGUGUACUUGUGUGAAUUCUGACAGAUGCAAACAGCUGUGCAACCACUGUCACCACAAUCUAAUGUGUGUUUUUAUUUCCUGCAAGACUUCCUUCACGGCUUCUAUAACUAGUUUUCCUUUGCUCCCUUCCUAAGCCUGGAGCAGCUACUGAUGUAUUUCUUUAACUAGCCCUUUGCCUUUGCAAAAUGUGACGUAACUAGAAUCUGCUAUCUUCAUUUAGAAUAAAAAUUUUG